GUUGCGGAGUCAUUGCUAUACGCUGCAUACCAGGGACUUUCACAGAGAGGAGACAUAGAAGACGACAUGGCUGUCAACCAUGGAAACUUCCUUGAACUUUUACAGGUCAUAGGCAAAUUCUACAAAACAGUUUCACAGAAAAUCUCAGAUAAUACUCGAGAUGCUAAGUACAUGCAUCAUGAUAUACAGAAUGAAAUACUGGGCAAACCCUCGACUCAGCAACCUUGCCUGCCUGUCCAUACACGCAGAAAGAACCAAGGCCCUGGAUGUCCAGAAGAUUAAAGACUCAUUUGCACUGACCCACAACAGACGCAUCGUUCUUCUAUAAAACAACACUUGCUGAGGGGGGCUGCUCCCAGAGUGCGGAUCAGAUCAAGACUCCCUGACCAACUGUACCCACCGCUAACCUGCAACAAGCUGCAUCUGUUCCCCCGGACACAAAGGGUGUUGCCAACCAAUGACUUUCGCACGAUAUACCUGUGGAGUCCAGAGAAACUCCCCAGUCUGGCCCAGAACACAGAGCUGUUGUUCCAAAGAAAAGGAGAGCUAUUGUAUGUACCCACUGCAUUCCUGGGUGAUAUUAUUUUGAGAGUGGGACAGAGCUUGUAAAGUGUUUUUACUCAUGCUUUUAAAAAUGUACCUCUGCUUUUUCCCCCCCAUCUCUGUGUUUCUGUACAUGAUUUUUAUAAUCGUUAUUAUCCUUCCCUGUUCACAACAUAGGACUGAGCCACUGAUGUUACCUGCAUGAUCAGAUGACAGGCAGACAGGUUCUCAUGCAUGUUGACUGGCAACAGGUGUUUUUAUAGCAUGACAAGUCUACUGCAGAACUAUACUGAACAAAAAUAUAAACGCAACCAUUUCAAAGAUUUUACUGAGUUACAGUUCAUGUGAGGAAAUCAGUCAGAUAAUCUUGGCAAAGGAGAAAUGCUCACUAACAGGGAUGUAAACAAAUCUGUGCACAACAUUUGAGAGAAAUAAGCUUUCUGCGCAUGGACAAUUUCUGGGAUCUUUUAUUUCAGCUCAUGAAACAUGGGACCAACACAUGUUGUGUUUAUAUUUUUGUUCAGUGUAUGUGGUACCACCCAUUGUGGAAUAGUUUCCAUACAGCAGAUAAUGCAGCUAAUACUUCACGAGAGAUGGACUUACAUGAAGUGCUGUUCCUCAAACUAAGAAUAGGUCUCAUUUAACCCAGUUUUACUCUUGUUUAAACAACAUUCUAACCUGAUAGGGCAAUAUGAUCCUGUUGAUAAAGACUCUUUUAUGGGGAGUUUCAGCCUGGAUUUGAACUGGUCAAAACUUUAUCUAUUUAAGUUAAGACCAUGGGAGAUAUGAGCUCAGUUUAAGAGCACGGAAUAGAUAUGCACGAAUAGAAAGCCAAAUAUAUGUUUUUUACUGUGUAGAUACAACCAACCCCCUUUGGAUCACCCUUCCAUGGAUCUUUUCUUCAUUCAUAUUGCGGUUGAUUUUUCAAGCAAUUGUAUUGUGUACAGAGAGAACUUGAAUGUAAAUAUUAAUCCAGUCAUCUCACUUCAUUAAAUGUCACUCACCAUAAGGUCAUGUUAAAUUUUCAUAACCUAUUGGACAUACAAAAGUGGGAUUUUGUUAUUCACUCAAGAAUACUCAUUUUACUAAAAUGUUUGUGCAUUUUACAAUUGAAUGUAUGUACAAGAAACAGCUUGCCCUGGCAACCUUCAGGGUGGCAUUGAAAAGUCUGACAUGGAAUAUAUACCCUAAUCUGUGAUCUGUGUAAGACGCAAUAUCUAAUGAGAAAUUGUCAGUUGUAACCCAUUAGGUUGAGGCUUUCAGCCCGAGAUGGUUGGCCAUGGAAUAAAAAAUAAGUUGGUGUGCUUUUGCACCCCUUUUAGGUCUUCAUAAAUAUCCAUCCCAUGUCCAGUCAUACUCGUGGUCUCAGCGUGUGUCCGUCAACGUCAGUCCAUCUCAGUUGCGGUGUUCAAAUCGAGGUCCUCACGUGUCUGUGAAUCACAACAUUAAAGACGAUGAGUUAUGACAGCAUUUCCACAAAUUGAGCCAUAGACAAUACAACUUAAGCAUUGUUUUACACUGUCUACAGUGUGUGAAUGACAG
Molecule: long non-coding RNA, 2085 nt
Organism: Oncorhynchus tshawytscha (Chinook salmon)
Lineage: Eukaryota; Metazoa; Chordata; Actinopteri; Salmoniformes; Salmonidae
Source: Ensembl